GACGAACGCUGGCGGCGUGCUUAACACAUGCAAGUCGAACGAAGUGGCGAACGGGUGAGUAACGCGUAAUCAACCUGCCCUUCAGAGGGGGACAACAGUUGGAAACGACUGCUAAUACCGCAUACUGAAGGAGGGGAUUGUGUCUGAUUAGCUAGUUGGAGGGGUAACGGCCAACCAAGGCGAUGAUCAGUAGCGGGUCUGUGAGGAUGACCGGCUAAAUUGGAACUGAGCCACGGUCCAGCCUCCUACGGGAGGCAGCAGUGGGGAAUAUUGCACAAUGGGCGAAAGCCUGAUGCAGCCAUGCCGCGUGUAUGAAGAAGGCCUUCGGGUUGUAAAGUACUUUUGUCAGGGAAGCGGUACCUGAAGAAUAAGCACCGGCUAACUACGUGCCAGCCGCCGCGGUAAUAC
This 408-nucleotide ribosomal RNA is filed under the name uncultured bacterium. RNAcentral's name for it is "partial 16S ribosomal RNA". It matches the Rfam family "Bacterial small subunit ribosomal RNA", at positions 28 to 526 of the family's 1533-position model. The record is from RNAcentral.